Molecule: long non-coding RNA, 214 nt
Filed under: Nicotiana benthamiana
Lineage: Eukaryota; Viridiplantae; Streptophyta; Magnoliopsida; Solanales; Solanaceae
Description: long non-coding RNA (NBEN_LNC014994)
Source: RNAcentral
UGUUGUUAGUGUUUUUGUUGUUCCUUUCCUUCACUGAGCCGAGGGUCGAUUGGAAACAGCCUCUCUGCCCUUCUAUGUAGGGGUAAGGUCCGUCUACAUAUUACCCUCCCCAGACCUCACUUUGUGGGACUAUACUGGGUAAUUGUUGUUGUUGUUGUUGUUACACAUAGUAUAUACUAGAGCUUUCCUGCCUCAUAGCUGCACUCCAUAAAAU